UGGUUUCUUAGUCUGUUUGAUGGUCAGUGACACGUUUCUGUGGCGACUUAACUGAUACUAGAGGCAUUCUAACAUGGACCACAGGGAAGGCAGCUUGCUCAUAGAAUAAGCCUCUGGUUUUUGUCUUGUUAAUGUUAGAUUUAGCCAAACAGAUUGAAAUACUUCUGUGACUUUAGUAGUGAAGACUUUAUUGUCUGUGGUGGGAUGACUUGAGGCUAUAAAUAAGGUUGUCAUGUCUGAUGCUGGCUUGCUCUGGGGGAUGACCCAGCUAGUUCAUUAUGAGGUAUGAGGGAGAAAGUAAGUACUGAAAUAAACGCCUGUGGUGAGGAACAAUCUCUAUUUUUACUUUAGGAAUGAUGCUUUGAGUUAAUAUAAUAGGAAAUGAAGUAUUUCCUGAUUAUUAGGCAGGCGCCUGACUUCAGGCAGUGAAUAAACUGCAGCUGGAAUUUACAUGGAUGAAAUAUUGCAGGAUCCUGAGAUACUUCUGAAUUCUCAGUUGGUUCCUAGUUCUUUGGCUUGCUGCCAGUCAGAAGGAGUUUUUCACUUUCCUAUACCCUUAGCUGAAAUUUGAGAUGGUUUGAGCUAUGUACAGAAAUUUGUCAGUUUUUAUAAUCUUUAUUAACUAGUAGUUGUUCUGUACUUUUUUGAGCCCUGUGUGGGUGUUCCCUGACUCUUCUGAGACAUUAAGUUUUAUCUACAG
RNAcentral lists this long non-coding RNA (700 nucleotides) under Bos taurus (domestic cattle). RNAcentral's name for it is "long non-coding RNA NONBTAT012018". The record is from RNAcentral. Lineage: Eukaryota; Metazoa; Chordata; Mammalia; Artiodactyla; Bovidae.